CACGAGAAUUGAAGGCCUAGGUGUAAUAUUAAUGAUCGCGGGAACUGGGAACGAGAAUGCACGCGCCCGUAAGCAAUCGGGUUUGCGAUCAUUCUCGAGCAUGCGUACUAACUUUUGGCGCCAUUAUCGAACGUUGGCCGUUGGGAUUUGCUUCGACGAGGGAUACGGAUAAAAUACAAGCGUAAAACCUCGUUUGUUGCAGUAUAUUCUGGACAAAUAAACAAUUUAUUAGGAAAAUACGUUCAAGAAACGUCUCGUGCUGUACUAGCCUAAUUCUGGCAAAUGUUAUUUACUUUCUUCACCUUCGUGUCGAAGACUGUUGUUUGCUGAUGGCCAAAUCACGACAGCGGACAUCAAUUAUUCAAAAUAUGUUCUUAUAGCUUCACGUUUACGAUACGAAACACGUUUUAAUGUAAGAUUAUUUAUUUUUUGUAUAUGUAGGUUGUAGUUGAAAGUGACAGCGACAAUGAAAAAAGUGCAAACAACAUUGAAAUAUCCAGUUCACUACUAGCUCAAAUCCUGCGACAUAUCACUUGCUAGUAGCCCAGUCUAGUUUAACUUUUCCCAAUCAAGAAUCAUCUCCUGAAUCAGGCAUACUGGCAACACUGGUUCAUUUGAUAAUGUAAGUUUUUAAACUGGUAUUUUAGAUUAUAGCCUCGGUCAAAUGAGGAUGAAAGUCAUGCAUGAAUUGCUUAUAAAUACACAAAGGACAUUUCAAGUUCCACAUGAACAAAAUAUUAUUAAAGCUUUGAUGAGUGUUCCAACUAUGUUUCAACUUAAUUAAAAUACUCUCAUCCUCGUUUGAUCCAUAAUUAUUUGUUGAUUUUACUCGAUACUAAAUAGUGAAACAUCGAAUCCAGAUAAAAUCUUAUGCAGAACCCACUGUAAUUCCGAGCUGUAAUCACAUAAUUAUAUAAAAGUCGUUUCAGUAGCAGCAAAAGCCAAACUAAACACCAACUAGGAUUAAUAGGUUUAGCUUUUAGGCCGAGAAUAAUACACGAUUGACAAUUUUGUGGCUGAUUGAUUUAAUAGUAUACUGUAUAUUGAUGUUGUUGUAUACAGGACAUCUGACUUACAUGUCAAAUUAAUAGUCGAAUCUAUGAUUAUAUUGAGCAUGGCAGAUUUGACAUUUGAAACAUUGUUGAUGUUAAUAACCCAAUGAGUCGCAUUGCGCCCUGAUGCGCACUAAGUAUUUAUUAUUUUACUCUGGUUAUCUAACGCUAGGCAAUUUUACUCAUCAAGGGGAGAGCACUGGCGGUUAAUGUGUUAACUAGCCUAUCUGCCCAUGUUUACAGUUAACCCAUUGAGUCGCAUUGUGCCCUAAUGCGGCCUAAUUUAUUAUUUUACUCUGCCUAUCGCAGGACAAUUUUACUCAUUAAGAGCAGAGCGCUGGCGCUUAAUGUGUUAACUGGCCUAUCUGCCCAUGUGUCUAGUUAACCCAUCGAGUCGCAUUGCGCCCUAAUUUAUUAUUUUACUCUUUCUAACGCCAGACAAUUUCACUCAUUAAGGGGAGAGCAUCGGUACUUAAUGGGUUAACUGGCCUAUUUGCCCAUGUUUAUAGUUAACACAUUGAGUCGCAUUGCGGCCUACUUUAUUUAUUUUUAUUUUACUCUGUCUCGAGAGGAGAACGCUGGUGCUUAAUGGGGUUAAUAUUGAAAAUAUAGAUCAACAUUUGUCAAAACUCAUGACUUGUGCAAUCAUUUCUGUAAUAAUUAAGAUAUUAAAAUACCAAAUAUAAUGCCUUAUGGCUUAUUUCAAAUAGGGAGAUGCCAUGUGACUAUGUCCAUUGAAACUUAGUGGAUUUGUUGUAGCUACAUCAAAUAAAUGCUAGCCAAAAACAUAUUCAAGUCAAUCGAAGAGAAUGUGGAAUUGCACUUUACAUAAAAUUCCCUAGUUAUUGUACAUUAGUAUAAUUACAUAGGUGAUUAUUGAAAAUUCUCCACGCUGAUUGGUUGCCGUUGAGGUGAUUAUUACGCGAUAAUCACCUAAGCGAUUUUCAAAAUGGCGGUCGAAGCCGUUUUGUCAAUUAAAUGACGAAGAAAUGUGCAUUUUAAAAUUUGUUUCCAAAUAUUCACCUAUGAAAUUAUACUAAAACAAUUAUUCACCUCAGGCUCGGUGAUUAUCGUGAAUAAAAACCUCGACUUCGUCUCGGUUUUUAUUCACCGAUAAUCACCUCGACUUCGGCGAAUAAUUGUUAAUAAAUGAAAAAGCAUUUGAAAUGGAAAUAUAUUGUUUUAAUUUUAUUACUAUGGUUUGUACUAUGAUAUACAUGGGCUACACACUCUUUGGGAACCCGCAGGACUGUUGGUAGAGCAUUUCCAUGAUCUGGAACUUCAGUCCUAAACACGAUGUGUGGGUGCGAAAAUGUUGUGUAGGAACAGAACUGUACAGAUUAGAAAUAUGAUUACUGAUAUUUUCCAAAGAAAAACUAUUAAUAUAUAGAAGAGAAAAGAAAGAGGCAAUAAAUAGCCCAAAGUAUCUGUUGUUCAUUUGAAAUUUAAAAAUGGUAGGCUUAUUAAGGAUGAGAUACAGAGAAAAACAGUAAUGCAGAACUACAUUCUCUUAAAUUGUCAAAAUUAAACGCUACCAGUCUUGGUCUCGUUUCAAACUUGAAUAACGAAAAGUCUAAAAAUAUAAAACUAUAAGAACAGAUCAGCUAAAUGAUGAAGGAAAGCUGUCAUUUUAGGAAAGUAUUGUUUUGGGGUGUGUGAACUCAUGAGGUUACAUGUUUCUGGUGAAUCUGCUUGCUGCAGCAAAAAUUUAUUAAUCGUUUGUGACAUAAUUCACAAGAUGUCUCUUUAAACCUGUGGGUUGCCAAACUUCUUAAAUAUGGAGUUUGUUUUGUCUGACCAAGAUAUAAUGAAUACCACUAGUGACAUGAGUAUGUCCAAUUAAUAUUUAACUGGAAAUAAAUGCAUGCAGCAACCCCAAGCCUAUAUUUUCCAAACAUUGAUUUAACAUGAACUAUUAGCAAAUGGCCAGCACUGAACACAGGCUCACGUUGUGUCAAGUGUUGUCAACGCAACAUAAUGUCACAUUAUAUUUUAAAUUUUUUUGAGUAAAUUUGCAAGUGUUCAUACCACAGAAUCUACCAUACAUAAUUUUAAACAAAUAGAUAGGUGAAGUAAUUCAAACAAAAUGAUUUUGAACUUUAUUCCUCUACUCUGUCGAAUGCCUAUUCUACUCGUAAAGGGGAGAGCCCUGGUGCUUAAUGGGUUAAAUAAGAUUGUAUAGUUAUAUGUAUAUCAUGUAUUAUGUUUUUAUGCAGUCUCCCUGAAUCACUUGUACCAGGCUAUGGAAAUUCAUGUUUCCAAUUUUGUAUUUAUUUUUCUUAUGAUACAGUAUACUGUAAAUUUGAAUAAUAUUUGUGUGCUUAUAGUGAGCUUAUUUUUAGGAGAGUUUGUUGCGAGGCAGCAUAUAUUUUGAUAUUUCAAAAUAUUACUGUAUAUUGGUAUGUUAUAUAAUGCUUUUGGAAGGGUUAUAGGGGUCGGGUGUGAUAUACUUUUUCAGGUAUUUUGUGUCUGAUGUAUGUAAGAGCUUUAUUAUUGGGUUUCUUGGUGAGACCUUAAGCCUGCAGCACACGAGAGCUAUCUGCUGAGCCAAAAGUUACUCGUGUCUGUUAGCUCAGCCGAUAGCUCACCGAUCAAACAUGUUUGAUACGUGAGAAAAGGUUGCAUGAGGCAAAAAAACUCAGUAAAAUGUAUCCGCACACGGUGAGCUAUCGGCUGAGCUAACAGGCACGAGUAACUUUUUGCUCAGCAGAUAGCUCUCCUGUGCUGCAGGCUUUAUAUCUUAUGUGUCCUAUAACCCUCUGUAAUUGCGGAUUAUUGCAUACAUUCUAAUUGUAUUUUUUUGUAGGAGUCCAAAGAUGCAAAUGAUACAAUUUCAAACUUAUCACAACCCAUAUUGUGGCCGCUGGCAGCGAACUAGAAUACGACUAGAAACUGUCAAUCAUACGUUAUCGAUUGAAAGGGUGAAAGUUCCAUAACAAGCAACAGUUGUUUUGAUGCAAUUAUCGCCUUAUUGGCAAGUUUUUACAUCUUCAAUAUUGAGUACUGCCACACGAAGAGCAUCUUGUCUGCCUUGCAGACUAUAGUAGUGCAUGGCCAACACAGAA
Paramuricea clavata is the source of this 4117-nucleotide non-coding RNA. NCBI's taxonomy places the organism in Eukaryota, Metazoa, Cnidaria, Anthozoa, Malacalcyonacea, Plexauridae. The record is from the annotation of a GenBank genome assembly.